GAUGAACGCUGGCGGCGUGCCUAAUACAUGCCAGUCGAGCGAACAGACGAGGAGCUUGCUCCUCUGACGUUAGCGGCGGACGGGUGAGUAACACGUGGAUAACCUACCUAUAAGACUGGGAUAACUUCGGGAAACCGGAGCUAAUACCGGCUAACAUGUUGAACCGCAUGGUUCAACAGUGAAAGACGGUUUUGCUGUCACUUUAGAUGGAUCCGCGUCGCAUUAGCUAGUUGGUAAGGUAACGGCUUACCAAGGCAACGAUGCGUAGCCGACCUGAGAGGGUGAUCGGCAACACUGGAACUGAGAAACGGUCCAGACCCCUACGGAAGGCAGCAGUAGGGAAUCUUCCGCAAUGGGCGAAAGCCUAACGAAGCAACGCCGCGUGGGUGAAGAAGGUCUUCGGAUCGUAAAACUCUGUUAUUAGGGAAGAACAAAUGUGUAAGUAACUAUGCACGUCUUAACGGUACCGAAGCAGAAAGCCACGGCUAACUACGU
RNAcentral lists this ribosomal RNA (495 nucleotides) under uncultured bacterium. RNAcentral describes it as "partial 16S ribosomal RNA". It matches the Rfam family "Bacterial small subunit ribosomal RNA", at positions 28 to 506 of the family's 1533-position model. The record is from RNAcentral.